UCGACAAUUUUACAUUGAAAAAAUUAGAGUGCUCAAAGCAUGCGUGACGCAUGAAUAAUGGUGCAUGGAAUAAUGGAAUAGGACCUCGGUUCUAUUUUGUUGGUUUUCGGAACACGAGGUAAUGAUUAAGAGGGACAGACGGGGGCAUUCGUAUUGCGACGCUAGAGGUGAAAUUCUUGGACCGUCGCAAGACGAACUACUGCGAAAGCAUUUGCCAAGAAUGUUUCCAUUAAUCAAGAACGAAAGUUAGAGGUUCGAAGGCGAUCAGAUACCGCCCUAGUUCUAACCAUAAACGAUGCCAGCCAGCGAUCCGGCUGUGUUCCUCAAAUGACACGCCGGGCAGCUUCCGGGAAACCAAAGCUUUUGGGUUCCGGGGGAAGUAUGGUUGCAAAGCUGAAACUUAAAGGAAUUGACGGAAGGGCACUACCAGGAAUGGAGCCUGCGGCUUAAUUUGACUCAACACGGGGAAGCUUACCUGGAUAGGACACAGGAAGGAUUGACAGAUUAAGAGCUCUUUCUUGAUUCUGUGGAAGGUGGUGCAUGGCCAUUCUUAGUUGGUGGAGCGAUUUGUCUGGUUAAUUCCGAUAACGAUCGAGACUCUAGCCUACUAAAUAGACGUUCCGAUCCUUGCUGUCGGACGCUCUUCUUAGAGGGACACGCGGCGUUUAGCCGCACGAGACAGAGCAAUAGUAGGUCUGUGAUGCCCUUAGAUGUCCAGGGCCGCACGCGCGCUACAAUGAAGGAAUCAGCGUGUGCUUUCCCUGUCCGACAGGACUGGGUAACCCGUUGAACCUCCUUCGUGCUUGGGAUAGGCGCUUGUAAUUAUUCGCCUUGAACGAGGAAUUCCCAGUAAGCGCGAGUCAUCAGCUCGUGU
This 874-nucleotide ribosomal RNA is filed under the name Echinotheridion otlum. Its description in RNAcentral is "SSU rRNA". It matches the Rfam family "Eukaryotic small subunit ribosomal RNA", at positions 743 to 1641 of the family's 1831-position model. Lineage: Eukaryota; Metazoa; Arthropoda; Arachnida; Araneae; Theridiidae. The record is from RNAcentral. RNAcentral also lists the same sequence under 1 other name.